UACAGAGGUCUCAAGCGUUGUUCGGAUUCACUGGGCGUAAAGGGUGCGUAGGUGGCGCUGUAAGUCGGGUGUGAAAUUUCGGAGCUUAACUCCGAAACUGCAUUCGAUACUGCGGUGCUUGAGGACUGGAGAGGAGACUGGAAUUCAUGGUGUAGCAGUGAAAUGCGCAGAGAUCAUGAGGAAGACCAGUGGCGAAGGCGGGUCUCUGGACAGUUCCUGACACUGAGGCACGAAGGCCAGGGGAGCAAACGGG
RNAcentral lists this ribosomal RNA (253 nucleotides) under uncultured bacterium. Its description in RNAcentral is "partial 16S ribosomal RNA". It matches the Rfam family "Bacterial small subunit ribosomal RNA", at positions 524 to 776 of the family's 1533-position model. The record is from RNAcentral.